GACGAACGCUGGCGGCGUGCUUGACACAUGCAAGUCGAACGGAAAGGCCUGCCUUCCCUUGUGGAUUGCGGGUACUCGAGUGGCGAACGGGUGAGUAACACGUGAGUGAUCUGCCCCCAACUUGGGUAUAAGCCUGGGAAACUGGGUCUAAUUCCCGAUAGGACUGCAGGGUGGUGCCUGUGGUGGAAAACGAUUUUCUAGUGGUUGGGGAUGAGCUCGCGGCCUAUCAGCUUGUUGGUGGGGUAAUGGCCUACCAAGGCGGCGACGGGUAGCCGGCCUGGGAGGGUGGACGGCCACAUUGGGACUGAGAUACGGCCCAGACUCCUACGGGAGGCAGCAGUGGGGAAUAUUGCACAAUGGGCGGAAGCCUGAUGCAGCGACGCCGCGUGGGGGAUGACGGCCUUCGGGUUGUAAACUCCUUUCGACCGCGAGGAAGCCACCUGGUUGGAAGGGUGGUGACGGUAGUGGUAGAAGAAGCACCGGCUAACUACGUG
RNAcentral lists this ribosomal RNA (494 nucleotides) under uncultured bacterium. RNAcentral describes it as "partial 16S ribosomal RNA". It matches the Rfam family "Bacterial small subunit ribosomal RNA", at positions 28 to 507 of the family's 1533-position model. The record is from RNAcentral.